Molecule: unclassified non-coding RNA, 716 nt
Filed under: Hevea brasiliensis (rubber tree)
Lineage: Eukaryota; Viridiplantae; Streptophyta; Magnoliopsida; Malpighiales; Euphorbiaceae
Source: RNAcentral
UUUUUUUUUUUUUUUUUUUAAAUGUUUUUGGCUUUGUUUUGGAGUGUUAGAUGUAUGAGACUGAUAGUGUAAAUGACAUUAUCUGUGAGGCUCCAGAUAGUUAUUUCCCGCCUCAGAAGGAAAAAAAAAAUUAGUUUGAUGAGUUAAGGAUUUGCGGUUAAUUAUCAUUCCGAAAAAUGCAUGCGACAUUGAAAGUAGUCGUUUUAGCUCUAUUAUGAUUUCAUGCCUUUAGCGAUAUGAAGUUGAGCCUCUUCAUUCUUGGAAUUCAUUGGAAAGAAAACACCGUGUUCCUCAAAUUAGGCUUUACUACGAUGUCGUUUGAUGCCUCAACUUAAACAACUGCCACGUGCAAGAUAAAAUUGCGAUCAAGAUUAAGAGCAUUGUCGUCUGCAUCCUAUUCCAAAUUCCAUAAUGAUGAGACAGCCGCCACUGAAGCCAUUGCCUUGCUCGGGCACCAAAAGGUCCCUCCCCAGCAGAAUCCAACAAUUCUGAGCGAUUUGAAAAAUAAUUGAUAAUUUAUAAGCCUCUCGAAGUGUCUUGAAAAUGAGUUUCCAUUGAAUUGAUAUGUCAUACAUACGUAGCUUCGAUGCAUGGAAGCGUCGAGGAGGAACAUUUCCCCUUGUCGGAUAUGGAAACGAUGGGGAGGCAUUUUGGAGUUGUUUUCUUAAAUUUGGAAAGUCGAAAAUGUGAUUCCAAAACUGGAAACGCAUAUAUUU